This 92-nucleotide transfer RNA is filed under the name Paracoccaceae bacterium. RNAcentral describes it as "Rhodobacteraceae bacterium tRNA-Ser". It matches the Rfam family "tRNA". Rfam says of the family: Transfer RNA (tRNA) molecules are approximately 80 nucleotides in length. Lineage: Bacteria; Pseudomonadati; Pseudomonadota; Alphaproteobacteria; Rhodobacterales; Paracoccaceae. The record is from RNAcentral.
GGAGGAGUGGCAGAGUGGUCGAAUGCAUCGGUCUUGAAAACCGACGUGGGGGUAAAACUCCACCGUGGGUUCGAAUCCCACCUCCUCCGCCA